Molecule: non-coding RNA, 45 nt
Organism: Schistosoma haematobium
Lineage: Eukaryota; Metazoa; Platyhelminthes; Trematoda; Strigeidida; Schistosomatidae
Source: Rfam
AUCCGGCUGACGAGUGCUAAAUAGGACAAAACGCGCGUCCUUGAU